Molecule: ribosomal RNA, 689 nt
Filed under: Persoonia spathulifolia
Lineage: Eukaryota; Viridiplantae; Streptophyta; Magnoliopsida; Proteales; Proteaceae
Description: eukaryotic LSU rRNA
Rfam family: 5.8S ribosomal RNA (bases 272-427)
Source: RNAcentral
GUAGGUGAACCUGCGGAAGGAUCAUUGUCGAUACCUGCCCAACAAAAAGACCCGCGAACAUGUUGCACCAUGAGCAGGGGUUGGGGCUUUGGGACGGUGAUUCCCUUCGUCAUCGACCCCUAAAGUCUGUGUCCACGAUUCUCCGUGGCCUAUGACUAAACACACAAACAAUCGGCGUGAUUGACGCCAAGGAACUCAUAAUGGAAGAGGUGUGCCAUCAUUAUGCCUUUGGCAUAGCGAUGUGUCAUCUUCAAUCCAAAUGUCAUGAAAUGACUCUCGGCAACGGAUAUCUCGGCUCUCGCAUCGAUGAAGAACGUAGCGAAAUGCGAUACUUGGUGUGAAUUGCAGAAUCCCGUGAACCAUCGAGUCUUUGAACGCAAGUUGCGCCCCAAGCCAUCGGGCUGAGGGCACGCCUGCCUGGGCGUCACGCAUUAUGUUGCCCAUCCACUAUCUUUGCCCCAAGGUUGUGUGAGAAUGGAGCAGAGAUUGGCCCCCCAUACCCUCGUGGAGGAUGUGGUCGGCCCAAAUGCAAGGGUCCCAUGGUGGCGAGCUUCGCGACGAGUGGUGGUCUAGGGACACUUCACCAUAGCUCGAAGUUGAGUGUGCUUUGCCUACUUUUGGGCAUGUAGAACCCGAUCACGCGUCAUCUUGCGAUGAACGCUCUGAAUGCGACCCCAGUCAGGCAAGGA